AUCCAGCUGACGAGUCCGAAAUAGGACGAAACGUGCAUCCUGGAU
This 45-nucleotide non-coding RNA is filed under the name Schistosoma mansoni. The record is from RNAcentral. Lineage: Eukaryota; Metazoa; Platyhelminthes; Trematoda; Strigeidida; Schistosomatidae.